RNAcentral lists this long non-coding RNA (318 nucleotides) under Gopherus agassizii (Agassiz's desert tortoise). Its description in RNAcentral is "lncRNA (ENSGAGG00000023988.1)". Lineage: Eukaryota; Metazoa; Chordata; Testudines; Testudinidae. The record is from RNAcentral.
CAGGAAGUUCAGCACUGGCUGAAGCUGGGAGCAUGAGGCAGGCAAGCAGAGAGGGGCUGCUGGACUGUAAUCCUGUUUGUGUUUCUUUGCAGGUACACAGAGAAUGAGCGGACAACUCAAAAGAGCAACCAUACUUGAACCUGAUACAGAAGCUUAUGCAAAGGGGUGAAGGUAUUUGAUGAGGAGAACUAUGUGGUCAGAGUGGUGGUGAAGAUUGCUUUGCCAGCAGGAUUUUGGAUGGGCUAGCAUGGAGUGAAUUAAGAAGCUAAAGGCAAGAAGGAUGCAGAUUUCAGUAGCUGAGGUGGGAACUGACCGAGA